This 305-nucleotide long non-coding RNA is filed under the name Olea europaea (common olive). RNAcentral describes it as "long non-coding RNA (OEUR_LNC004254)". Lineage: Eukaryota; Viridiplantae; Streptophyta; Magnoliopsida; Lamiales; Oleaceae. The record is from RNAcentral.
UGAUAGAUGAUUCCAUUGUAAUGCUCAAUUUUGUACAAAUGAUUUCUAGUAUUCCCCCAACUUAUAAAUUACAAAAAUACAGUACAUCUCUCUCUAAGGAGACGCGAGCAACCAGAAGGCGGUCUGGUCGUGUCNUUCCCCCAACUUAUAAAUUACAAAAAUACAGUACAUCUCUCUCUAAGGAGACGCGAGCAACCAGAAGGCGGUCUGGUCGUGUCUGAAUCAGACGACUUGAGUAAGCAUGCAUCGGAAAACAGAGUACAUCUCAUAUAUCAUUUUCAGACAAAAGAAUAGAGCACAAUGCA